AUUUUACCUAGUUUCUUACAUUGUUUAGUUUUUAGGAAAUAAAACUAAAUAAAACUCAUGUGCUAAGUUUUUGUUUUUGUUUAUUUUAAAGGUCUUUGACUGGAAACAGAAUGAGCAAGACAAAGGAGAUCAGGGAUGUGAUCUAUAAGAUUGGAAGAGAGUGACCUGAAAAGGGGACUUAACCAGUGCCAGCAAGUGUACUUGAAGAGUAUUUCCAAAUACUGAACAUGUGACUGGAACUAUUGAGAACACUGAUAUUGUGACAUUUUCGGUGUUGGCGGAGCUCUUUAUGUCAAAUCUGGUCUUCUUUAAUUUUAAUCAACACGUUUUGUAGUUAUCAAUGUAAGGGUAUUUCACCGAAGAUUAAGAUUUGAAUAUUAAUGUGCCUUUUUUCAUCUAUUGAUACAAAUCUCAUGCCUUUUCCAUUGUAACUUAUAAAUAUGGUAAUGUGUCAUAAUAUACUUUCUGAUCUUCAAUAAAACCAAUAAGACUAUUGUGUAUUUAUUUUAUCAUUGCUGUAUUUG
This 524-nucleotide long non-coding RNA is filed under the name Papio anubis (olive baboon). RNAcentral describes it as "lncRNA (ENSPANG00000048098.1)". The record is from RNAcentral. Lineage: Eukaryota; Metazoa; Chordata; Mammalia; Primates; Cercopithecidae.